ACGGGAGGCAGCAGUGGGGAAUAUUGCACAAUGGGCGCAAGCCUGAUGCAGCGACGCCGCGUGAGGGAUGACGGCCUUCGGGUUGUAAACCUCUUUCAGUAGGGAAGAAGCGAAAGUGACGGUACCUGCAGAAGAAGCGCCGGCUAACUACGUGCCAGCAGCCGCGGUAAUACGUAGGGCGCAAGCGUUAUCCGGAUUUAUUGGGCGUAAAGAGCUCGUAGGCGGUUUGUCGCGUCUGCCGUGAAAGUCCGAGGCUCAACCUCGGAUCUGCGGUGGGUACGGGCAGACUAGAGUGAUGUAGGGGAGACUGGAAUUCCUGGUGUAGCGGUGAAAUGCGCAGAUAUCAGGAGGAACACCGAUGGCGAAGGCAGGUCUCUGGGCAUUUACUGACGCUGAGGAGCGAAAGCAUGGGGAGCGAACAGGAUUAGAUACCCUGGUAGUCCAUGCCGUAAACGUUGGGCACUAGGUGUGGGGGACAUUCCACGUUUUCCGCGCCGUAGCUAACGCAUUAAGUGCCCCCCCCUGGGGAGUACGGCCGCAAGGCUAAAACUCAAAAGGAAUUGACGGGGGCCCGCACAAGCGGCGGAGCAUGCGGAUUAAUUCGAUGCAACGCGAAGAACCUUACCAAGGCUUGACAUGUGCCAGACCGCUCCAGAGAUGGGGUUUCCCUUCGGGGCUGGUUCACAGGUGGUGCAUGGU
RNAcentral lists this ribosomal RNA (699 nucleotides) under Glutamicibacter nicotianae. RNAcentral describes it as "bacterial SSU rRNA". It matches the Rfam family "Bacterial small subunit ribosomal RNA", at positions 341 to 1049 of the family's 1533-position model. Lineage: Bacteria; Bacillati; Actinomycetota; Actinomycetes; Micrococcales; Micrococcaceae. The record is from RNAcentral.